This is a ribosomal RNA of Pteropus vampyrus (large flying fox), 119 nucleotides long. NCBI's taxonomy places the organism in Eukaryota, Metazoa, Chordata, Mammalia, Chiroptera, Pteropodidae. The record is from Ensembl.
GUCUACAGUCAUGCCACCCUGAACAAUCCACAUCCCGUCUGAUCUUGAAAGCUAAGCAGGGUUGGGCCUGGUUAGUACUUGGAUGGGAGACCACCUAGGAAGACCAGGUACUGUAAGCG